GAAAUGCGAUAAGUAGUGUGAAUUGCAGACUUUAGUGAAUCAUCGAAUCUUUGAACGCACAUUGCGCCCCUUGGUAUUCCAUUGGGCAUGCCUGUUCGAGCGUCAUUUACACCCUCAAGCUAUGCUUGGUGUUGGGCGUCUGUCCGCGCUUCCCGCGCGGACUCGCCCCAAAUCCAUUGGCAGCGGCAUCGCCGGCUUCUCGCGCAGCACAUUGCGCUUUAGAAGAAUACGGCGGGCUUGCGUCCAUGAAGAACCCCAUCAGUUUGACCUCGAAUCAGGUAGGGAUACCCGCUGAACUUAA
This 301-nucleotide unclassified non-coding RNA is filed under the name uncultured fungus. RNAcentral describes it as "sequence contains ITS1". The stretch from base 1 to 105 matches the Rfam family "5.8S ribosomal RNA", at positions 50 to 154 of the family's 154-position model. Lineage: Eukaryota; Fungi. The record is from RNAcentral.